Molecule: long non-coding RNA, 628 nt
Organism: Tympanuchus pallidicinctus (lesser prairie-chicken)
Lineage: Eukaryota; Metazoa; Chordata; Aves; Galliformes; Phasianidae
Exons: 3
Source: RefSeq, a predicted model, not a curated record
AAUAUAAAGAACAAAUACUUAGAAAUCAUUAGAACAAGUAACUAGAUGAAAAAUUGGAAAGUAUUUCUGGGAGGGAUAAGUUGUUGCUAUAUACUACAAUAAGAAGCCUGUUUUGAGCUUCUGAUAUAUGAAAUUACUCUCAUGUUAGCACAUCAAUGCAGAGUGCACGGAUUAAAAGGAGUCCUGCCCUCUCCAACUGUGGCAUUUUGCCCUCUGCAUAUCAUCCAGGGUCUUCUCUCACGCACCUAGGAGCAGCCCUCUGUGUACAGAAGAGGCAGUCUGGAUCUUUCAUCACAGAUGGUGACAUAGAACCACAGAAUCUUUAGGGUUGGAAAAGACUACUAUGAUCAUCUAGUCCAACCACCAACACAACGCAUCCUCUUGGUGGAAGCCAAAAAAAAACAAGCAAAAGUGAAAUUGUCAACCAUGUGCAGUAUUUUCAGUGUCUUCACUGCACUGAUCAUGGAUGUAGUGUACUGAAGGGGAGAAGCAUUUUGCAUCUGAUUUACCACAGCCACUCUUCAGUGAACAGUGUCCUGCAAAAUUCACUUCCAGCAUUUGGAGAGGUUUAAAAAUAUAUAUAUUUUUGAACCAAAAAGCACUGAAAGGGCUUCCAUAAUUUUUUGAA